RNAcentral lists this long non-coding RNA (311 nucleotides) under Physcomitrium patens. RNAcentral describes it as "long non-coding RNA (PPAT_LNC011630)". Lineage: Eukaryota; Viridiplantae; Streptophyta; Bryopsida; Funariales; Funariaceae. The record is from RNAcentral.
UAUUUAAGACUUCUUUUGGAUUUGAUUAAGAUUUAAUUAAAGUUUAUUUAAGUUUCUAUUAGAAUUUUUAAGAUCUUGUUGUUGUAUUUUCCAAUUUAUCUUUUACAAUUAAGUGCUCGGUGUAUUCUUAAGUAAGACUUUAAAUUAUACAACAAUGUAGUAUGCCCACAUUGAUACGUACCUUCAUCACCACAGCAAGUAAAAGAUCCAUGCCGAUUCUAACAUCUACUUUUUUUUCAACAAAACCUUUAUCGCUAUCUUCAUCUUAUAUGUAAAGGACUUCUUUAUUAUUAGAUCCAUUAUUGUGCACA